Molecule: long non-coding RNA, 250 nt
Filed under: Coffea arabica (coffee)
Lineage: Eukaryota; Viridiplantae; Streptophyta; Magnoliopsida; Gentianales; Rubiaceae
Description: long non-coding RNA (CARA_LNC005358)
Source: RNAcentral
CAGAGUGAGUUGCAGUUGUAGUUUGAGAUGUGAAGUGGAAGUGGAUGAAAGAGUGCCGUGGUUUUUUGAGGGUGGAAUCGAUUGAGUGUGGAGUUGGUAAUGGAUUUCGAUUGGUGGUAUGGGGCGGUGCUAGGCUGCUGUCCGAGGUCUUGUUUGGUUCGGCAUGGAAAUAUCAUGGUUGUGGUGUAGUGGGGAUUUGGUGGUUUGUGAAGGGCAUUUUGGUCUUUUCACAUCUCCUCCUAAUAUCCCC